This 462-nucleotide ribosomal RNA is filed under the name uncultured bacterium. RNAcentral's name for it is "bacterial SSU rRNA". It matches the Rfam family "Bacterial small subunit ribosomal RNA", at positions 28 to 479 of the family's 1533-position model. The record is from RNAcentral.
GACGAACGCUGGCGGCAUGCCUAAUACAUGCAAGUCGUGCGAACGCUUCAAGGAGCUUGCUCUUUGAAGUAGUUAGCGGCGGAUGGGUGAGUAACACGUGGGCAACCUGCCCUACAGAUGGGGGUAACUCCGGGAAACCGGGGCUAAUACCGAAUAAACAGUUCGUCCGCAUGGACGAACUCUGAAAGACGGUUUCGGCUGUCACUGUAGGAUGGGCCCGCGGCGCAUUAGCUAGUUGGUGGGAUAAUAGCUUACCAAGGCAACGAUGCGUAGCCGACCUGAGAGGGUGAUCGGCCACACUGGGACUGAGACACGGCCCAGACUCCUACGGGAGGCAGCAGUAGGGAAUCUUCCACAAUGGACGAAAGUCUGAUGGAGCAAUGCCGCGUGAGUGAAGAAGGUUUUCGGAUCGUAAAGCUCUGUUGUAAGGGAAGAACAAGUACGGGAGUAACUGCCCGUACC